UCCUACGGGAGGCAGCAGUGGGGAAUAUUGCACAAUGGGCGAAAGCCUGAUGCAGCGACGCCGCGUGGGGGAUGACGGUCUUCGGAUUGUAAACCCCUUUCAGUAGGGACGAAGCGCAAGUGACGGUACCUGCAGAAGAAGCACCGGCCAACUACGUGCCAGCAGCCGCGGUAAUACGUAGGGUGCGAGCGUUGUCCGGAAUUACUGGGCGUAAAGAGCUCGUAGGCGGUUUGUCGCGUCGUCCGUGAAAACUCGGAGCUUAACUCCGAGCUUGCGGGCGAUACGGGCAGACUUGAGUACUACAGGGGAGACUGGAAUUCCUGGUGUAGCGGUGAAAUGCGCAGAUAUCAGGAGGAACACUGGUGGCGAAGGCGGGUCUCUGGGUAGUAACUGACGCUGAGGAGCGAAAGCAUGGGUAGCGAACAGGAUUAGAUACCCUGGUAGUCCAUGCCGUAAACGGUGGGCGCUAGGUGUGGGGUCCUUCCACGGAUUCCGUGCCGUAGCUAACGCAUUAAGCGCCCCGCCUGGGGAGU
RNAcentral lists this ribosomal RNA (533 nucleotides) under uncultured bacterium. RNAcentral's name for it is "bacterial SSU rRNA". It matches the Rfam family "Bacterial small subunit ribosomal RNA", at positions 337 to 881 of the family's 1533-position model. The record is from RNAcentral.